GAUGAACGCUGGCGGCGUGCCUAAUACAUGCCAGUCGAGCGAACAGACGAGGAGCUUGCUCCUCUGACGUUAGCGGCGGACGGGUGAGUAACACGUGGAUAACCUACCUAUAAGACUGGGAUAACUUCGGGAAACCGGAGCUAAUACCGGAUAAUAUAUUGAACCGCAUGGUUCAAUAGUGAAAGACGGUUUUGCUGUCACUUAUAGAUGGAUCCGCGCCGCAUUAGCUAGUUGGUAAGGUAACGGCUUACCAAGGCAACGAUGCGUAGCCGACCUGAGAGGGUGAUCGGCCACACUGGAACUGAGACACGGUCUAGACUCCUACGGGAGGCAGCAGUAGGGAAUCUUCCGCAAUGGGCGAAAGCCUGACGGAGCAACGCCGCGUGAGUGAUGAAGGUCUUCGGAUCGUAAAACUCUGUUAUUAGGGAAGAACAAAUGUGUAAGUAACUAUGCACGUCUUGACGGUACCUAAUCAGAAAGCCACGGCUAACUACGU
RNAcentral lists this ribosomal RNA (496 nucleotides) under uncultured bacterium. Its description in RNAcentral is "partial 16S ribosomal RNA". It matches the Rfam family "Bacterial small subunit ribosomal RNA", at positions 28 to 506 of the family's 1533-position model. The record is from RNAcentral.